AUUGAACGCUGGCGGAAUGCUUUACACAUGCAAGUCGAACGGCAGCACGGGGGCAACCCUGGUGGCGAGUGGCGAACGGGUGAGUAAUACAUCGGAACGUGCCCGGUCGUGGGGGAUAACGUAGCGAAAGUUACGCUAAUACCGCAUACGAUCUGAGGAUGAAAGCGGGGGACCUUCGGGCCUCGCGCGAUCGGAGCGGCCGAUGUCAGAUUAGGUAGUUGGUGGGGUAAAGGCCUACCAAGCCGACGAUCUGUAGCUGGUCUGAGAGGACGACCAGCCACACUGGGACUGAGACACGGCCCAGACUCCUACGGGAGGCAGCAGUGGGGAAUUUUGGACAAUGGGCGCAAGCCUGAUCCAGCCAUUCCGCGUGCAGGACGAAGGCCUUCGGGUUGUAAACUGCUUUUGUAUGGAACGAAAAGGCUCUGGCUAAUACCUGGGGCUCAUGACGGUACCGUGAGAAUAAGCACCGGCUAACUACGUG
This 484-nucleotide ribosomal RNA is filed under the name uncultured bacterium. Its description in RNAcentral is "partial 16S ribosomal RNA". It matches the Rfam family "Bacterial small subunit ribosomal RNA", at positions 30 to 507 of the family's 1533-position model. The record is from RNAcentral.